GACGAACGCUGGCGGCGUGCCUAAUACAUGCGAGUUGAGCGAUGAAGAUUGGUGCUUGCACCAAUUUGAAGAGCAGCGAACGGGUGAGUAACGCGUGGGGAAUCUGCCUUUGAGCGGGGGACAACAUUUGGAAACGAAUGCUAAUACCGCAUAACAACUUUAAACAUAAGUUUUAAGUUUGAAAGAUGCAAUUGCAUCACUCAAAGAUGAUCCCGCGUUGUAUUAGCUAGUUGGUGAGGUAAAGGCUCACCAAGGCGAUGAUACAUAGCCGACCUGAGAGGGUGCUCGGCCACAUUGGGACUGAGACACGGCCCAAACUCCUACGGGAGGCAGCAGUAGGGAAUCUUCGGCAAUGGACGAAAGUCUGACCGAGCAACGCCGCGUGAGUGAAGAAGGUUUUCGGAUCGUAAAACUCUGUUGGUAGAGAAGAACGUUGGUGAGAGUGGAAAGCUCAUCAAGUGACGGUAACUACCCAGAAAGGGACGGCUAACUACGUG
RNAcentral lists this ribosomal RNA (497 nucleotides) under uncultured bacterium. Its description in RNAcentral is "partial 16S ribosomal RNA". It matches the Rfam family "Bacterial small subunit ribosomal RNA", at positions 28 to 507 of the family's 1533-position model. The record is from RNAcentral.